This 359-nucleotide small nuclear RNA is filed under the name Heterocephalus glaber (naked mole-rat). Its description in RNAcentral is "7SK RNA". It matches the Rfam family "7SK RNA". From Rfam's summary of the family: 7SK was discovered as an abundant small nuclear RNA in the mid-70s but a possible function has only recently been suggested. Two independent studies have found that 7SK RNA binds the CDK9/cyclin T complex (known as elongation factor P-TEFb). The record is from Rfam by way of RNAcentral. Lineage: Eukaryota; Metazoa; Chordata; Mammalia; Rodentia; Bathyergidae.
AGAAUUGGAGGGUGACCUGGCUAUGACAAGCCACCUCACUGAUUGUCAGUGUUUUUUCAACUGAUCUUACUGGCUUGCUGGGUGUCCCCUUUCUCCUCCACAGGUCAGAGCCUGUCCUUCCUGAAGCAGAAUGCUUGGUCAAAAAGUACACCCUUUUCCCUCUUAAUAUUAAAGAACUUUCCAUGUUGAUUUCUGCCUAGGUUUCAGAAUCUUAGUUUAUCUGAACCUGCUAGCAUUGAAAAAUGAUACUUAAAAUUAAUCAUGGGAACAAGAAAUCCUCUUCUUUAGCUACCUCUUUCUAAAAACCAGACGAUUUCAGUCACCAGAAUUUAUCCCCAGCAGGCUGGCUGUAGGAUAGU